This 214-nucleotide ribosomal RNA is filed under the name uncultured Desulfovibrio sp. RNAcentral's name for it is "partial 16S ribosomal RNA". It matches the Rfam family "Bacterial small subunit ribosomal RNA", at positions 1169 to 1382 of the family's 1533-position model. The record is from RNAcentral. Lineage: Bacteria; Pseudomonadati; Thermodesulfobacteriota; Desulfovibrionia; Desulfovibrionales; Desulfovibrionaceae.
GGAAGUGGGGAUGACGUCAAGUCCUCAUGGCCUUUAUGUCUAGGGCUACACACGUACUACAAUGGCCGGUACAAAGGGCAGCCACUCAGCGAUGAGGCGCUAAUCCCAUAAAGCCGGUCUCAGUCCGGAUCGCAGUCUGCAACUCGACUCCAUGAAGUUGGAAUCGCUAGUAAUCGCGGAUCAGUACGCCGCGGUGAAUACGUUCCCGGGCCUU